UGGGGAAUAUUGGACAAUGGGCGCAAGCCUGAUCCAGCAAUGCCGCGUGGGUGAAGAAGGCCUUCGGGUUGUAAAGCCCUUUUGUACGGGAAGAAAUCCUGUCGGUUAAUACCCGGCGGGGAUGACGGUACCGUAAGAAUAAGCACCGGCUAACUUCGUGCCAGCAGCCGCGGUAAUACGAAGGGUGCAAGCGUUAAUCGGAAUUACUGGGCGUAAAGCGUGCGUAGGCGGUUGGCUAAGUCAGAUGUGAAAGCCCUGGGCUCAACCUGGGAAUGGCAUUUGAAACUGGCUGGCUAGAGUGCGGUAGAGGAUGGCGGAAUUCCCGGUGUAGCGGUGAAAUGCGUAGAGAUCGGGAGGAACAUCCGUGGCGAAGGCGGCCAUCUGGACCAGCACUGACGCUGAGGCACGAAAGCGUGGGGAGCAAACAGGAUUAGAUACCCUGGUAGUCCACGCCGUAAACGAUGAUAACUAGCUGUCCGGGCUCAUGGAGC
RNAcentral lists this ribosomal RNA (491 nucleotides) under uncultured bacterium. Its description in RNAcentral is "bacterial SSU rRNA". It matches the Rfam family "Bacterial small subunit ribosomal RNA", at positions 355 to 838 of the family's 1533-position model. The record is from RNAcentral.